Podarcis lilfordi (Lilford's wall lizard) is the source of this 69-nucleotide non-coding RNA. Lineage: Eukaryota; Metazoa; Chordata; Lepidosauria; Squamata; Lacertidae. The record is from the annotation of a GenBank genome assembly.
GCUGUAGCUCAGCAAUAGAGCAUCUGCUUUGGAUGCAGAAGGUGCCAGGUUCAAUUCCUGGCAUCUCCA